GACGAACGCUGGCGGCGUGCUUAACACAUGCAAGUCGAACGGAAAGACCCGGCGUUUGUGGGGUGCUCGAUUGGCGAACGGGUGAGUAACACGUGAGUAACCUGCCCUUGACUGUGGGAUAACUUCAGGAAACUGGGGCUAAUACCGGAUAGGAGCUCCUGCUGCAUGGGGGGGGUAGGAAAGAUUCGGCGGUUGGGGAUGGACUCGCGGCUUAUCAGCUGGAUGGGGAGGUAGGGGUUUACCAAGGCUUUGACGGGUAGCCGGCCUGGGAGGGGGACCGGCCACAUUGGGACUGAGGUACGGCCCAGACUCCUACGUGAGGCAGCAGUGGGGAAUAUUGCACAAUGGGCGGAAGCCUGAUGCAGCAACGCCGCGUGCGGGAUGACGGCCUUCGGGUUGUAAACCGCUUUCGCCUGUGACGAAGCGUGAGUGACGGUAAUGGGUAAAGAAGCACCGGCUAACUACGUG
Molecule: ribosomal RNA, 468 nt
Filed under: uncultured bacterium
Lineage: Bacteria
Description: partial 16S ribosomal RNA
Rfam family: Bacterial small subunit ribosomal RNA
Source: RNAcentral